Molecule: ribosomal RNA, 483 nt
Filed under: uncultured bacterium
Lineage: Bacteria
Description: partial 16S ribosomal RNA
Rfam family: Bacterial small subunit ribosomal RNA
Source: RNAcentral
AUUGAACGCUGGCGGCAGGCCUAACACAUGCAAGUCGAGCGGUAGAGAGAAGCUUGCUUCUCUUGAGAGCGGCGGACGGGUGAGUAAUGCCUAGGAAUCGGCCUGGUAGUGGGGGAUAACGUUCGGAAACGGACGCUAAUACCGCAUACGUCCUACGGGAGAAAGCAGGGGACCUUCGGUCCUUGCGCUAUCAGAUGAGCCUAGGUCGGAUUAGCUAGUUGGUGGGGUAAUGGCUCACAAAGGCGACGAUCCGUAACUGGUCUGAGAGGAUGAUCAGUCACACGGAAACUGAGACACGUCCAAGACCCCUACGGGGGACAGCAGUGGGAAAUAUUGGACAAGGGGCGAAGGCCUGCUCCAGCCAGGCCGCGGGUGUAAAAAGGGUCUUGGGAUUGUAAAGCACUUUAGGUUGGAGGAAGGGCAGUAAAUUAAUACUUUGCUGUUUUGACGUUACCGACAGAAUAAGCACCGGCUAACUCUGUG